UACGGGGGGAGCAAGCGUUGUUCGGAUUUACUGGGCGUAAAGGGCGCGUAGGCGGUCGUGACAAGUCACUUGUGAAAUCUCCGGGCUUAACUCGGAACGGUCAAGUGAUACUGUCGGACUAGAGUACAGAAGGGGCAACUGGAAUUCUCGGUGUAGCGGUGAAAUGCGUAGAUAUCUGGAGGAACACCGGUGGCGAAGGCGGCAUCCUGGACCGACACUGACGCUGAGGCACGAAGGCCAGGGGAGCAAACGGG
This 254-nucleotide ribosomal RNA is filed under the name uncultured bacterium. RNAcentral describes it as "partial 16S ribosomal RNA". It matches the Rfam family "Bacterial small subunit ribosomal RNA", at positions 524 to 776 of the family's 1533-position model. The record is from RNAcentral.